AGAUGGCAAAACCAGCCAGUCUGUGUUCUUCUCUUCAGAGUGGUAAGUUCCCCUGGGCCCUGGCAGGUCCAGAGUUGCUGUCCAGGAUCAAGGGCCUUGUGUUGUAAACCUUAAAAAUCUACCUGGUACUCUAUUCUGCUGUAGCUAAGUUGGCAUCAAAACCACAAGACAAAGUCCUUUUCCCGAUAAGAAGUGACAACAGAAAUAGAGGUCAGAGUGAUGCAGGGAAAGGGGCAGGAGUCAAGGGAUACGGGCAGCCAAUAAAAGAUAGAAAAAGUCUCUGGUAUUAAAUUAUUCCCUAGACUUUGCACUUCAGGAGGAUAUCUAAUAGACAAAGAUUGAUUCACCAAUUAAAUAAAAUCUGCAUGUUCUAAAUCAAAAACAAGCUCAUUGAGGUUUAUUUAGCUAGAAAUCCCUUGCUAAAUUAUUGUUUAAAAUAAGACAUAAACAGGGAAAACACCAUUGCAUGAUGAGUAAUUAGAAAAAUGAAUGACUUUUUG
Molecule: long non-coding RNA, 500 nt
Filed under: Pan troglodytes (chimpanzee)
Lineage: Eukaryota; Metazoa; Chordata; Mammalia; Primates; Hominidae
Description: long non-coding RNA NONPTRT012052
Source: RNAcentral